CCUACGGGUGGCAGCAGUGAGGAAUAUUGGUCAAUGGACGAGAGUCUGAACCAGCCACGUAGCGUGAAGGAUGACUGCCCUCUGGGUUGUAAACUUCUUUUAUAUGGGAAUAAAAUGUUCCACGUGUGGGAUUUUGUAUGUACCAUAUGUAUAAGGAUCGGCUAACUCCGUGCCUGCAGCCGCGGUACUACGGAGGAUCCGAGCGUUAUCCGGAUUUAUUGGGUUUAAAGGGAGCGUAGGUGGAUUGUUAAGUCAGUUGUGAAAGUGUGCGGCUCAACGGUAAAAUUGCAGUUGAAACUGGCAGUCGGGAGUACAGUAGAGGUGAGCGGAAUUCGAGGUGUAGGGGUGAAAUGCUUAGAUAUCAGGAAGAACUCC
Molecule: ribosomal RNA, 375 nt
Filed under: uncultured bacterium
Lineage: Bacteria
Description: partial 16S ribosomal RNA
Rfam family: Bacterial small subunit ribosomal RNA
Source: RNAcentral